Molecule: long non-coding RNA, 638 nt
Filed under: Amphibalanus amphitrite
Lineage: Eukaryota; Metazoa; Arthropoda; Thecostraca; Balanomorpha; Balanidae
Description: uncharacterized LOC122379690, transcript variant X2
Source: RNAcentral
AAUUUCACUCAAACAAAAUGGAAUAAACACCUGUUAAACAUUCACUCACUUUCUGCACGUAGGACGCGCCAUUCAGGGACAACAUUAAAAGUUAUUGCGAAAAUUAAAAACCUCAACAAAGCUGCUAAUAAGACGUCUGAAUAAGCUGGCUCCUUCCCGACCUGCAGCUCACCAGUGCAGCUGCAAGAAAGGCUGUAGGAGUUUAGUCGUGGUGUUAACUCGAAAUACAACGUUAUUGACAGCCGCGUUCGCACGCGUUUGGUCGGAGGUCCACCGAAGUUGUGGGAUCACCGCGGAUAGCAGAUGAAACGUCAACGGAAGUGCGCCAUGGACGUCCGGGAGCUGUUUAAGGAGCGUUUAACUGAACGCCCCUGGCGGCCAGAGCGGGAAACUCACCUGCACAGCUGACUGACUGCAAUGAAAAUCGAGGAGUGCGCGAAAGACCGCAAAUGCUUUGGCUAACGAAGAUCCGUGCCAUUUAUUCGCACCUACGGUAAUAUAUUGAUCAGAUAAGGUUUCAAAUCUGGUUAGCAAACUAGAAAAGAGUCGUGAUUGAGUUGAGCUGAGUCAGUUUACGUGAAAUUCGUGACUGGUGAUAUCCGUAUAAUCCCGAUAGGCGAUUCGUUGAUUAUUCAUGG